ACACUAACCACAUGCUCCACUUUCAGCUGAUCUCCUGUUUUUACUUUGUUAUAUAUCUGGAAGGGGGAUACAAAUACAAGUUUGCAGAACCACACCAGACGACUGUGUCAAACCGCAUCCCUUCUUUUCUCAUUUUAUCGCUAUUGAACAACAAGGGAUUUCUCUUUCAGAACAGGAAUCUCAGGGGACUGCACUUUCACAGCAUUCUUCCUCCUAACAACAUAUGAAAGAGAAAGGGACCAGAAAAUGCCAAUUCCAUCUUGAUUAGCAAGACCUAAGAGACUGCCACUUCUGCACAAGAAAUGGAAAGGAUAAAUCAAAACCGACAAUGAAACCACUGUAUUUGUUAAACAGCAAACAAUAAAAUGAUUCAAGAUGAGAAAGGAAGAUGUCUUCUAACAUUACUCCAAUGAAGCAAACUACGAGGAGACAACUCGCAGUGAACUGUGUAACACCAAGUUUAAAAAGGAAUACCGGUAUAACCAUCAGUCAGUGGUUCUAAAAGUUCGAACCACAUAUUCAUGGGUUACUAUCUUUAAAACUGAAUAAUGGGAACAUCACUAGCACCAUAAGCAUCAGCAGAGCUGUAAAGAUUUUCCUCAUAAAAAUCUUCACACAUUUGUUAGUGCAGAGGGUACCAAAGAUAUACAAACAUUUCAAAAUCCCAGUUCUUUAGUCUACUGUAUACAGAUGGACUCAGAUUUGGCACACAAUGAAACCAGCAUAUACCUACGAAACCUUAGCUCGAGUGUACGAAGCACCUGUCAGUUCAGGAUUUUUGAUAUUCUGAAAUGUUUUGUAACACAGAUACCUCCUUCCUGGGCCUCACACAAUGCUCUGCAAAACAUUUGAGGAUUUCCCCUGUG
This is a long non-coding RNA of Cygnus olor (mute swan), 866 nucleotides long. RefSeq lists it as uncharacterized. Lineage: Eukaryota; Metazoa; Chordata; Aves; Anseriformes; Anatidae. The transcript has 4 exons. The record is from RefSeq and is a predicted model, not a curated record.